Molecule: unclassified non-coding RNA, 2067 nt
Filed under: Daphnia pulicaria
Lineage: Eukaryota; Metazoa; Arthropoda; Branchiopoda; Diplostraca; Daphniidae
Description: uPF0692 protein C19orf54 homolog, transcript variant X1
Source: RNAcentral
AUACGUACGUCACGCACAUCGCUGCUGCCUGCUUCCUCCACCCUCCAGGCUUCUUCUCCCUCCCAUAAGGCCAUAAGGCUGAGUACUGAGUAGUAGUGAGUAGUCUUGGUUAAAUGUUAAUUUUACUCAAUAAAUCUUAAAUUUUAGAAAAUCCCAGAUUAUUUUCAUUUUUUUUUUUUUUAAUAUGGAAUCUAUACCUCCUCUUCCACCUCCUUUGCCAUACCUACCUAUGACAGAAAGUAAACAUAUUGAAGUUAACUCAAAAUUUAGCAAAAAUAUUAGUGAUCAAUACGUUUUGGAUAAUCUGGAGCUUUGGUUUAAACUGAACGGCAAAAGAAACAAAACUUUCCUGGCAAAUUGGCAAAAUACUCCCAACAUUCUACAAAAUGGUCCACAGUGUGGGCUAGUAGCUUUAGCUAUGGCUGCUCAAUCUUGUGGAAUUAAAGUUGACACAGAUUCUAUAUUUCAACAGGCUAAGCAAAUGGGGAUUACCAAAAAGGGUGAACUAUUCAGCUCAUCUGCAGUUUGUGCACUUGCAAAUCAAAUGAAUAUCAAUUCUGUAUUGCUAAAUAACGGUUUCAGUAAUAUUCAACUGUUACUUAGAUAUUUUAUAUCAGGCAAAUUACUGCUUGUUCCAUAUGAUGCUGAUUGUAACCAUGCCCCAUGCCUUAAGAAAGGCCACAAAGCACACUGGGCAUUGUUAGUUGGGGUUUUCUUUGAAUUUGAGAAUAACCUGAAUUUGCACACAGAAUUUUGUUGCAAAAGAGAAAUUCUCGGCGAAGAUUUAUAUCGGAUUUCGGACUUGUCCGCUAAUUGUGAUCUACUAAGUCAAGUGAAGAAAGAAAACAUAUACUUUUUGGCUAAACAUGGAAAAAGUAAGAGAUUGGCCAUCUGGAACUGUGAAAGUUUACAGCUCAGUAAUAAUAACCUAGAAGAGGUUGACCCAAAGCGCUCUAAUAGUAUAGAAUAUGUCCUCCCACCUAAUAAUAAAUUGUCAGAUUUGUGUGGCAAAAUAAUUGUUUUAGGAUAAAUAAUCAUGCUAUUUUAAAGUCAUAUCGAAACCCUUAUACACCAUAUUGUAAUUAGCAUAAAACUUAAAAUACAUGGAAGAAAAGCGAUAUGUUGUGAAUACGGCAUGUUCCAUCUUCUUUGAGUUUAUAUUUCACUUAAGGGUGUAGGGUGACAGUCCGUGUAACUUCAGUAUUUGAUUAUCAUUCAAUAUGCGCUGCUUGCCAUAUAAGAACAAAACUGUUCAUUUGUACCAAUAAAUAAUAAUAUUAUUAAAAUUCUUUAAACCUAUAUACCACAAGCAUUGAUUUUCGAAAGUGGCGAAUCGUGAUGAUGCAUUAACUUGUGGGCCAAAUCCGGAAAGCUCAUUCAAAAGCGUUCGCGUGGUUAACUAAAGGAGCUCAAAAUUGCGUAUGUUUUAUCCCUUCCCUUCCAAUUAAAUGCCCGCGGAUAUUUACCGAAGCGCACAGGUGAUAGUGAUGUAGUAUGGUGUCAAAGAUACCACUGACCAGUAUCUUCUAUCUUGGUUAGUGUAACAGGUUGCUGUACAUGCACUCCAAACUCUAUUAUUUCAUAAAUCGUCAUUUUUAUCUUAAACUUUUUUCGUUUGGCUUAAUAUUUGUGGACGAUUACCUACAGUUCAAAUCAUUAUUUACAUCACGAUCCAAAUCAUUGUUUGUGUUUUUCAGAACUGCAAAAAAUAUGGGAUUUCAGUCGCUCUGUUUAUGGCCUGCCAUAUUUCUGGCCCUAGGGUUGCUAUUUAGUUGGAGUUCAGGAGCGACCCUCUGCGGUAAAUGGACAUUUGAAGAACAUAAAAUCUCUUCCGUGAAAUUGUGCCAAGAAUCUAUCCCAAAGGCUUCCAAAAGCAACGAUAAACUACUAAGCACACAAAUUUCUGAAGAGCCCUAUUAUAUGUCAACUCCUCAACCACCAACGAAACAACGAGAGUUACCGAAAAAUCCUUACAUGGAUUAUGAAGAUUAUUACACGCGAUCGUAAUGACUUUCGUGGCACUGGGGUGUAAAAAGUUAAAUAUAAAUACACAUUUUGUUAGAUUCA